This 1131-nucleotide long non-coding RNA is filed under the name Harpegnathos saltator (Jerdon's jumping ant). RNAcentral's name for it is "uncharacterized LOC112589704, transcript variant X1". Lineage: Eukaryota; Metazoa; Arthropoda; Insecta; Hymenoptera; Formicidae. The record is from RNAcentral.
UAAAGUGUUUUUUUCCUACAGUCUCAUAUACUAAGCGAAGCUUUUUACAGGAAAAGGAUUCUUCUUUCGAAUGGAGCUGCAGCGAAUCGUGAAAGUUUCUUUGAAACUCGGCGAGAAGAAUAACGGAAAUCGUAACGACUCGUUGCUCCAUGAGCAACGAUAACGGUAACGGGCGAGUUAUACAAAUCACGAUAUUUACGUCAAACGAGAACACGAUGAUGCUGAAUAGAAAACGCUGCCCGCUAUUUUUUCCCAUAGACCGCACUACCACCGUCGAUUACGGCUUCGCGUCUUCUCUACUGGAAACUUUCGCUCCAUCGAUCGUUAAAUCAAAUCGCCGGAUCGCUCGCGACGCCUGCCAAUUAGCAUAAUUAGCGACACGAGCGAUUUAACGAAGGCGAGAACGAGGCGAGAAAAAUGAGACUCUUUCCCCUGCGGUCGUUCGCGCCGCCGAAGGCAGAAGCGUUAAAUUUGCGGUUUGCGGAAUGCAGCGCGCCGGUAACAACAAUGCGAACACGCGCUAACGACAUCGCUCUUAUUAAUAGCAACGUAAAUAAAACAGUCGCAUAAACGCGCGCGCACGGACGCUGCAAUUUACACAAAUAACUCCCCGAUAUCGGUAUUUUUCAGCGAGAGAGAGAGAGAGAGAGAGAAAGAGAGAAAGAGAGAGAGCUGCUUCGCAACAAGCAUUCAAGAGCCGACGGAAAAUCUGUUAUCAGCUCGUCACGCGGUUAAUGUGUUCCCUGCUUCUACUUGACGCAACGAGAGAGCUGUUAUCAGAAUUGAAUAAUAUUGAUUCGCCUUAUCAAGCGUCAGUUACGCGCACGCUCUCACGCAGAACUCCACCCACUGUCGUAAUAUUCGAGUCACUUGUUGCGAACACUGGCUGACCGUUUAAUAAGACCGCUUCGCGGGGAUCGAACCGAUUAAAUGAGCAGAACGGGAGGGAGAGAGGAAAAGAAAAAGCGCGAGUUGAUGGGAAAGUCGGUGAAAAAGAAUGAAACCGAAACGAACGCGAGCCUGACGGAAAAUGUCAGCUGGCCGGUCAAAUUCGAGAAGAGAGGAGAAAGAAAGCUGAAUACUCAUACUGAAAGCAUUCAAUUGUACUGAAAAAUAAAAAAAAAACAUUUA